RNAcentral lists this transfer RNA (75 nucleotides) under Ixodes scapularis (black-legged tick). Its description in RNAcentral is "tRNA-Ser". Lineage: Eukaryota; Metazoa; Arthropoda; Arachnida; Ixodida; Ixodidae. The record is from RNAcentral.
CUCUUGGUUAGCUGAGUUGGUAGAGUGCUCCACUGGAAAUGGAGAGGUCCCCGGUUCAAUAACAGGGCCAGGCGG